AUGUAUUUAUUAUCGUUGUGUGAAUGAAUAAACUGGUUAUACAGGUUUUUGAAGGUGAUACAUGUCCAAUGGUGCGGAAAUCAAGAUUUCCUCGUGCACAGAUUUGUAGGUUUAGUCAUUCGACAGGCAAGCAGGGUAGAGCGAAGACUUGAUUUAAAUCGUUUUAUUUAUUUUCUCAACCACAUUUAAUUGUGAAAUUUGAUUUAUUUUUGUGUCGUAUUGGAGUUGGCAAUUUAUUAAUAUGGACAGUCAGGAUGAGAGGAGAGAUCGCUUCGCCGGCGGGGACAGGGCUGGCACAGUAAAUGGACACACGUAGCGACCACGUGGUAGCGGUCAAGAAGGUAGGCCCUCGGGGAUAGAGGAGAAUUGAUUGACGUGUUUGGUUUACAUAUAAUAAUACGCACAUUGUAAAGAAAAGUAUCAUUUCUUACGUUUUUCUCUUGUAAAAUGUAGUUUAAAGAGAGGCAUGUCCUUUUUUUUUCGGAAAAUCAUUGGUGCCAAUCCUGAUAACUGUAUUGUCGGCGCUUACACAUUACCAUUCUUACAAUUACCUGAAAAAUGUGUAUCUGGAAAUAACCAAUCAGCUUUAAAGCAGAUAGAUUAGCAGAUGUUAACGAGUCGGUGCAGGAUAUGUAAAAUAAUGGCUGUAUUGAAGAAUUAAAAGACAUCCCUCAUGUUGUUAGUCAAUCAAGUGUAGCCGUGAAUGAAGCCGGAAGCUGGAUUUGUGAUCAAUGAGGACAAGUCAAUACUAGAAAUGGCGCGGCAGAGGCCGACGCGUAUCCCCACGCCGAAUGUUUGACCUAGGUGUGCCCCAGGGUUGGUAAUGGGGCCAUGCAUAGCUGAGAUUGACCGUAUUGUCAUAAGAGAAGUUCAUCAUCAAUUAGAAGUGAAUUGGUGUAGAAAUGAAGAAGUUAUAGUAAAAGGCAAUUUUGGGUGGGUGUGACAUAUGUGGGCAGGGCGCCCCAGGGUUGGUAAUUGUGCCAUGCAUAGUUGAGAUUGACCGUAUUGUCAUAAGAGAAGUUCAGUAUCAAUUUGAAGUGAAUCGGUGUAGAAAUGAAGAAAUUAUAGUAAAAGGCAAUUUUGGGCGGGUGUGGUCUAUGUGGGCGGGGCCCCAGGGUUGGUAAUGGGGCCAUGCAUAGUUGAGAUUGACCGUAUUGUCAUAAGAGAGGUUCAGUAUCAAUUUGAAGUGAAUCGGUGUAGAAAUGAAGAAAUUAUAGUAAAAGGCAAUUUUGGGUGGGUGUGGUCUAUGUGGGCGGGGCGCCCUAGGGUUGGUAAUGGGGCCAUGCAUAGUUGAGAUUGACUGUAUUGUCAUAAGAGAAGUUCAAUAUCAAUUUGAAGUGAAUCGGUGUAGAAAUGAAGAAAUUAUAGUAAAGGCAAUUUUGGGUGGGUGUGGUCUAUGUGGGCGGGGCCCCAGGGUUGGUUAUGGGGCCAUGCAUAGUUGAGGUUGACCCUAAUGUCAUAAGAGAAGUUCAGUAUCAAUUUGAAGUGAAUCCGUGUAGAAAUGAAAAAAUUAUAGUAAAUGGAAUUUUUUGGUGGGUGUGGCCUAUGUGGGCGGGCGCCCCAGGGUUGGGAUUGGGGCCAUGCAUAGUUGAGAUUGACCCUAAUGCCAUAACAAAAGUUCAGUAUCAAUUUGAAGUGAAUCCGUGUAGAAAUGAAAAAAUUAUAGUAAAUGGAAAUUUUUGGUGGGUGUGGCCUAUGUGGGCGGGGCGCCCCAGGGUUGGGAAUGGGGCCAUGCAUGGUUGAGAUUGACCGUAUUGUCAUAAGAGAGGUCCAGUAUCAAUUUGAAGUGAAUCGGUGUAGAAAUAAAGAAGUAAAUGUAAAAUAACCUAAAAAAAUGAGUGAUAAUUUCUGACGCGGCCCCACCCCAACCGCUAUAACUUUUGACCCAGGGGUAAGAUCAAAAUUCCAAAUAGUGCAGGGUCGCACAUAUGCUCAUAGCUACCAUGUGUGUAAGUUUCAAGGUUCUAGUGCUUUUAGUGUAGGAGGAGAUAGUGGCCAGGACGGACGGACAGACAGACAGACAGACAGACAGACAGACGGACGGACGGACGGACGGACGGACGGACGGACGGACGGACGGACGGACGGCGGAGAUAACCACAAUAUCCCCACCUUUUUUCAAAAAGCGUGGGGAUAAUAAGUACCAGUUCAGAGGCUAGAAUGGGUAGGAUUAGUCUGGGAUAGCCAAAUGUUUUCUUUUGAAAUUCCCGAUAGAAGAAUAACUGAUUUUAAAAAUACUCUUUUAAAGGUAUUUUCUUCCAUGCCAAUGGUUUCGGCAAUGGAUUUAGCUAGAUGUACGGGGAAAAUUGUUUCAGUGAUGCCUGUUAUAGGUAGUCUGGCAAGGUAAAUGGCUAGAUAUCUUUAUUCUGAAAUCGUUUGUAGACCGUCAUUGCAUAGAGUUAUAGCCCUUGAACCAGAUAGCUUAUUUAUUUCCGAAUUUAUAUUUUGGUUAGGUCGCAUAGAUGGCAUACAAACAAGACAUUUUAGUAAAACUACAUGUGUCGAAGUUUUAAAAGUUUACAGUGAUGCAAGUGGGUUUGCUGGUGGGGCUUAUAUUGUUGAUAUGUCAGGUUUCAUUUUUCACGAUAUAUGGUCAAAUGACGAUCGCAAUACAAGUUCUACUUAUAGAAUAAUUAAUGGAGUAGUUCUAGUUUUACGUGCCUAUGGGAAUUUUUUAAGGGGGGGGGGGGGGCUGUUAAGAGGUUUUCUGACUCUGAAUCACGUGUAAAGUUGGUAAAGGUAGGAAGUUCUAAACUUGAGUAACAUGAUCUAGCACUAAGCAUUUUUAGUAUGUGUUUGAAGAUGAAUAUAGGACUAGAAAUACAAUGGGUUCCAAGAUAAUUAAACUCCAUUGCCGACAGUAUAAGUAAAAUGAGCAAUACAGAUGAAUGGUAAAUCUCACGAGAUUUCUUUGAGUAUUUAAAUGGUAGCUCGGGUCCGUUUUUGAUUGAUCGCUUGGCUACUUUUAAAAAUAGAAAUACUUAAAGAUAUAAUUCAAAAUUCUUUGAUUUUGAAACGGAAGCAGAUUGCUUUACACAGUUUUGGGGUGCCGAUUUGAAUUGGUUGAUGCCCCUAUUUAUCUCGUAGGAAAAACAAUUUUGCACUUUCUAGAAUGCAACGCAUAUGGCGUUUUGGUGGUACACAGAUGGCCUAGUGCAGCAUUUUGGUCAUUCUUAUUUGAGGCUGGUAAUGUACAAAUGCACUUUGAGAAGGAUAUUAAUAUGUGUUUGACAAAGGGCAAACUAUUUGUAUGAGUAAUAACCACUCUGUUUCAGUUCAAGACCGUUUUCAAGAAAUGAUCUUGCUAUUCGAAUUUAACUAUACUAUAUGUCGUUUAUAUGUGAAUCGGUGAUAUUAAUGGUUUGACUGUUUUGCUAUACUUAUGGUAUAGUUGGGAUUUUUCACGUGUUUAUAUGAGUAGACAUGAUUCAAUGGAUGUUGUUUUUGUAUAGCCAUUAAGUAUGUAUAGAAACCAUGUUGGUGUAUGUCCGUUUGCACCUGGUGCUUACGAAGUCGUGUACAGUACACGAGGAUUGGAAUAUUUGCAAAAAAGAAAGCAAAAACAGUACUUGCAAAAAAGAAAGCAAGGGUUAAAAAUAAUAGUUUUAAAAGUAUAAUACUUGCAAAAAAGAUAGCAAGGGUAAUAUUUAUUUCAAAUUGGAAAAUACUUGCAAAAAAGAAAGCAAGGGAAACAGUUUUGUUGCAGAAAGUCAAUUUAAAAUGUUGGUGUGUGUGUUUCGUGUCUGUCUGCCUCUGGGGAAGACGCGAUUGUGUGUGGCAUUUCGUGGGCUCAUGGGGUUGUGGGAUCGUGUGGUCGUUGUAAUUCUGGUCUGGUUGUGUUUUCUGAUGAUGGAUUGAAAAGGGCCAAUUCCGGGCCGCUGGUUCGGAGGUGCUUAGUGACUAAAGCGGAUGUGUAGAGGCUUUGAUUCUUUGAUUUGAGAUUUGUAACGGUGUGUUUGGUGCGUUUUUUGGGGGGUUUGGCGGUUUGGGGACUUUGAAUUGAAAGGAUGCGAUACAAGAUUUUUUGAGGAUUGUGCUAUAAUUAUUAUUUUCAAUAGUAAAAUGGUUCAAUUGUGCAAGGGCGAACAGGUUUUGACAUUUUGUAAAACAAAUGCAGUUUUAUGCCCUGUCUUCUACUUGAAAAAAUGUAUCUUGGUAGAAACUAUUCUAGAUAUUGCAAUAUAUGUUUUGUUCAGAAACAUAACAAAUUGUAAGAAAAUGAAUAAAUACAUUUUAGUUGGCUUAAAGCAGAUGAGUUACAGUAGACAAUUAGAUAUUUUGCACCACAUCUUUCGUGAAAUUUAACUUAAACCUAAUGUUCACGGGUUGCAUUCAUUUCGUUCAGGGGAAGCAACUGCUGUUGCAAAUAGCGGUGUAUCUGAUAGUGUUAAAAAAGCAUGGGCAGUGGAAGACUGUUGGCGCUUAGGAUCGCUGCGUGAGAGAUUAGGAUGAAACACAAACAAUUGUUUCUUCUCGUUUGGAUUUGUUAAAUAUAUAUGGUACUUGGUGUUGUAUGUUGUUAGUUGUGCGUUGUUUUUUUGCCCCGUUCUUUUUCUGUCGAUAAAAUACCCUGCUUGUCAUGACACCUAAACAAAUGUGUUUGUUUUUAUUCUAAAUGGUUAGAUGAUAAAUAAUUUAUGUUUGUCAUAAAAUGUAAUGGAAUAUAAAACAUAAAUGUAUUUAUUAUCGUUGUGUGAAUGAAUAAACUGGUUAUACAGGUUUUUGAAGGUGAUACAUGUCCAAUGGUGCGGAAAUCAAGAUUUCCUCGUGCACAGAUUUGUAGGUUUAGUCAUUCGACAGGAAGCAGGGUAGAGCGAAGACUUGAUUUAAAUCGUUUUAUUUAUUUAUGCUCUGUUUGUGUGCUGAUGUUAAUAUUAUGUUUUAUGUGUUUCAGUGAGUUUUAUGAGAGCAGAUGGAUGACUGACUUGAGAUAGAAAGGGGCAUUGGUUCCGAAAAUUUUACCAUGGGAUUUACAAAGUUUUCUAAAAAGAAUACUUAACGUUUACGAUAUAGUAACAGCUGAUUAUUUGUAGAUUUCUCUAAAAUUAGAGGUUUCAGGAGGUGAUGAAGGCGCCUACACACCGGUCUUGAGCCAUGGGUCCUCAUACGUCCCCCUGCCAUUAAAAGAAAAAUGAGCAGUAGGGUUGCGUAUCCCGCUCGCGGUUUCACCUGAAUCGUUCGUUACCACCGAUUAUUGUUUGGGGUGUACGUCAAGUCAUGUGCACUUCUCUUAAUUGAUGGUAAUGAAUAAAUCUUGUAAUUAUCGCAGCUGCUUUUAUCAAAACUAAUGCUUAACUUUAUAUACUUUUCGCACAGAGGCGUUGUGGAUGGGCAUAGGGGGCGUCCUCGGUGCGUUUUGGGCAUCGGCGGCGGACGGGCGGUUGUUAGGGCCGUGGCGUCCUUGGUUGGGCUUGUGAUUUUGAAUUGUGUAGUUAAAUUGUGAAAUUGUAUGCUUUUGAGUUUAGGCUUGACGUCUGAUGGGUAUUAAUAACAUUCAAUUAUUCACAUGUAACGCAUGAGCAUGUUUAAUGAUACGUAUAACGACGUGUUCUACAGAAUUGAUUUAGUAUCGUUUCAGUUCUUAAAUAUAUGAGAAGGAUGUCGCAACGUUUACUGACGUCUCGAGACUCUUCAACUGAGCGGUGCCAUUGGGGUCGAUAUCUGUUGCUCAUUGAACGAAUACGAUCGUCAGAAGAUAUGUUUCUUGCAUUUAUGUGUAGAAAGCCCUGUCAGAUACAAACACCCACUCCAUGCGUGUGUUUCAAGAAAUAAAAUACCCUGCUUGUCAUGACACCUAAACAAAUGUGUUUGUUUUUAUUCUAAAUGGUUAGAUGAUAAAUAAUUUUUGUUUGUCAUAAAAUGUAAUGGAAUAUAAAACAUAAAUAUUUCUAUUCUCGUUAGGUGCAGUGCGCAGCCCAACAGGAUUUGUUGAGCUGCUCCUACUGGAUGACUUCCUCAACUUUGCUGACGAUAUUCGUCCAUUCGACGAUGAUGAAACAGUAAAUGAAACAUCAAAAGACAGCAGUGCAGAUCAAGUUCUUAGUGUGCCUGUUCCUGUGAAUAAUAAGGAAAUUAAACCAAGCAGGAAUCCAGCUAUUGGUAAAAGGAAAGAGUAGAACCUGAGGGAACUGCAGAUGGCAUAUUAUGCUGGAGCCAUUGCAGUUCAACAGGAAAAGUUGCUACUUAUGAAAUCUCAGAGAAAGUUUUUUGAGGAGGGAAAGCUCAUGCUGGCAUUUGCCAAAGACAAACUGUAAAAGAAUGUCAUAAAACAACAUUUUUUAUCAUUUUGAAAAAAAAAAAUCUAAAAAUGAUAAUAAAUGAUACAAAUUACAUUUGUAGCCGGGGUUUGUGUUAACAACACAAGGGGUUUUAAGUUCCAAGUUUUUAAUAUAUGUGAAUGAUGGUCAGUGAUCAAGACUUAGUGUAGAAAGUGGCAAUUGAAAAUAGCCAACUACAACAUCUACCUCUUGCAAGGUUUUACAAACAAGUGACUUAACAUUUAGUUACUAUUUAAAAUUAUUUGGAUGAACAUAAAAUCAUCUCACAAUAAACACAAAAAUGUAAAUAAAGUAAGUUAUUCUUACUAAUUUACACCUUUGCCUAUACCAGCAAAUUUAAAUUACUGCAGUACAUUAUCCACCAGAGUAGACACUCAGUAGUAGACAGUGUUUACAAGGUGCGUGAGAAAAUUCCUGACCUAUAUUUAAAUACAUCUGUUCAAU
Dreissena polymorpha is the source of this 6722-nucleotide long non-coding RNA. RefSeq lists it as uncharacterized. The transcript is spliced from 5 exons. NCBI's taxonomy places the organism in Eukaryota, Metazoa, Mollusca, Bivalvia, Myida, Dreissenidae. The record is from RefSeq and is a predicted model, not a curated record.